CAUGAUGAUCGUUACUGAUGUUGUGAUGCUUCAUUUGUGGUUUGAUCCCUCCCAAAUAUAUGUGAUGCUUUAUUUCAGUAUAACCACAUGUUCAUAAUGCAUGCUAUUCCAUAACAUCAACAACUAGAACUUGCCUGGUGGCUCCAAAUGAUCACAGAACACUAAGCCUAGACGCUUUACAGAUUCCAUGGCUCAUGGAAAUAAAAGAUCAAGGCUUUUGAGUAGCAGAUGAUUAGAUACUUGUGUUGAGAUGGUUAAGUGUGGGGAACGAGGUCAAAUUUGGUUUACACAGACAAGGAUGUUGAUGAGAUCCGAGCGGAAUGGGCUAAGCAUGUUUUGAAGUUCCCAGAAAAUUAAGUAUCAGCCUAUAUAUAUGCUUUUGUUUCUGGUAGGUUAUGAGCAGUAGUAGUGUUUAGGAACUGCUUUUGUGCAUUUUGACAGAACUGAUGGAAAGUGUUGAACAAAUGCAUGCAGUUGCUGUAACUACUCUAUGGAUGCUACUAGGUUUUUGUCUUAGUUAGAUUAGGAUCCGUGCAACAAUGGCAGUAAUUAAAAUCAGUUAAUGUAAAGGCUAGCAUGCUAGCUAGUUUAGUAUUAUGCUACUGAUGGAAAUGUAUUUUGGUGGGUUAAUUUAUGCAAUGAGGAAUUGAUCUUAU
Long non-coding RNA from Rosa rugosa (rugosa rose), 656 nucleotides. RefSeq lists it as uncharacterized. The record is from RefSeq and is a predicted model, not a curated record. Lineage: Eukaryota; Viridiplantae; Streptophyta; Magnoliopsida; Rosales; Rosaceae. The transcript has 4 exons.